This 486-nucleotide ribosomal RNA is filed under the name uncultured bacterium. Its description in RNAcentral is "partial 16S ribosomal RNA". The record is from RNAcentral.
GUAGUUAGCCGGGGCUUCCUCGUCAGGUACCGUCAUUAUCGUCCCUGACAACAAAAGUUUACAAUCCGAAGACCUUCUUCCUUCACGCGGCGUUGCUGGGUCAGGCUUGCGCCCAUUGCCCAAUAUUCCCCACUGCUGCCUCCCGUAGGAGUCUGGGCCGUGUCUCAGUCCCAGUGUGGCCGAUCACCCUCUCAGGUCGGCUACCCAUCGUCGCCUUGGUGGGCCGUUGCCCCGCCAACUAGCUAAUGGGACGCGAGGCCAUCCUAUACCAAAUUUCUUUGACCCCUGUACCAUGCGGUACCGUGGUCUUAUGAGGUAUUAGCAGCCGUUUCCAGCUGUUAUCCCUCUGUAUAGGGCAGGUUCCUCACGCGUUACUCACCCGUCCGCCGCUAAGCAACCAGAAAGCAAGCUCCCUGAUUGCUUCGCUCGACUUGCAUGUGUUAGGCACGCCGCCAGCGUUCGUCCUGAGCCAGAAUCAAACUCUGA